GACGAACGCUGGCGGCGUGCCUAAUACAUGCAAGUCGAACGCAGUGGGGACGGGUGAGUAACACGUGGGUAACCUCCCGUCAGAGGGGUUAACAGUUGGAAAAAGGUGCUAAACCGAUAUGGAAGGAUGGAGCCGGGGUGGUAUAGCUAGUUGGUGGGGUAACGGCUCACCAAGGCUACGAUGCAUAGCCGGCCUGAGAGGAUGAUCGGCCACACUGGGACUGAGACACGGCCCAGACUCCUACGGGAGGCAGCAGUGGGGAAUCUUCGACAAUGGACGAAAGUCUGACCGAGCAACGCCGCGUGUGUGAAGAAGGUUUUAGGAUCGUAAAACUCUGUUGGUAGAGAAGCGGUAUCUAACCAGAAAGCCACGGCUAACUACGUGCCAGCAGCCGCGGUAAUUC
This 403-nucleotide ribosomal RNA is filed under the name uncultured bacterium. RNAcentral's name for it is "partial 16S ribosomal RNA". It matches the Rfam family "Bacterial small subunit ribosomal RNA", at positions 28 to 526 of the family's 1533-position model. The record is from RNAcentral.